This 580-nucleotide ribosomal RNA is filed under the name uncultured delta proteobacterium. RNAcentral describes it as "bacterial SSU rRNA". It matches the Rfam family "Bacterial small subunit ribosomal RNA", at positions 323 to 917 of the family's 1533-position model. The record is from RNAcentral. Lineage: Bacteria; Deltaproteobacteria.
GAAUUCGUGAUUACUCCUACGGGAGGCAGCAGUARGGAAUAUUGCGCAAUGGGGGCAACCCUGACGCAGCAAUGCCSCGUGRGKGAAGAAGGCCUUCGGGUCGUAAAGCUCUUUUAUGGGGGAAGAUGAUGACGGUACCCCAUGAAUAAGCACCGGCUAACUACGUGCCAGCAGCCGCGGUAAUACGUAGGGUGCGAGCGUUGUUCGGAAUUACUGGGCGUAAAGGGCGUGCAGGCGGAUUGGCAAGCCGGAGGUGAAAGCCCGGGGCUCAACCCCGGAGGGUCUUUCGGAACUGCCAGUCUUGAGAGGGUCAGGGGCCAGCGGAAUUCCUGGUGUAGAGGUGAAAUUCGUAGAGAUCAGGAGGAACACCGGCGGCGAAAGCGGCUGGCUGGGGCCACUCUGACGCUGAGGCGCGAAAGCGUGGGGAGCAAACAGGAUUAGAUACCCUGGUAGUCCACGCCGUAAACGAUGGGCACUAAGCGUCCGACGGGUUCGACCCUGUUGGGUGCUGCAGUUAACGCGUUAAGUGCCCCGCCUGGGGAGUACGGUCGCAAGACUAAAACUCAAAGGAAUUGACGGA